This is a long non-coding RNA of Bufo bufo (common toad), 148 nucleotides long. RefSeq lists it as uncharacterized. Lineage: Eukaryota; Metazoa; Chordata; Amphibia; Anura; Bufonidae. The transcript has 3 exons. The record is from RefSeq and is a predicted model, not a curated record.
CACUGGGCCCCAUAGCAAAAAUCAGAAUUGGGCCCCUUAACCCCGCCCACUACCCACCAUGGCCCCUCCCACUUCCCGACCUGGCUCCUCCCAUGCCACACCCCCAUUAAAUAAAUCUAUACAUGACCUACAGAAACUGUUAAGGGUU